UACGUAGGGGGCAAGCGUUGUCCGGAUUUAUUGGGCGUAAAGAGCGUGUAGGCGGCCAGACAGGUCCGUUGUGAAAACUCGAGGCUCAACCUCGAGACGCCGAUGGAAACCGUUUGGCUAGAGUCCGGAAGAGGAGAGUGGAAUUCCUGGUGUAGCGGUGAAAUGCGCAGAUAUCAGGAAGAACACCCGUGGCUAAGGCGGCUCUCGAGUACGGUACUGACGCUGAGACGCGAAAGCGUGGGGAGCGAACAGG
RNAcentral lists this ribosomal RNA (253 nucleotides) under uncultured bacterium. RNAcentral describes it as "partial 16S ribosomal RNA". It matches the Rfam family "Bacterial small subunit ribosomal RNA", at positions 524 to 776 of the family's 1533-position model. The record is from RNAcentral.